Molecule: long non-coding RNA, 418 nt
Filed under: Homo sapiens (human)
Lineage: Eukaryota; Metazoa; Chordata; Mammalia; Primates; Hominidae
Description: non-protein coding LINC00866:1
Source: RNAcentral
CCCCGGAGCUCUGCGCUCGCUUCCGUGGCCCCCGGGACAUCCAGCCUGAAGGACAGUGGGGCAGGAAUUUUUCCGGGGCAAGACGCUUCAGCCUGCAAGGCUGACCGCUCCCGAGCCGCUCGCAGGCCCGCAGAGUUGGGAGGAGAGCAGUCCAGACUACAGAAAGAGCACGGACAGAGGCGUGGAGAGGAGGCAGUCAGCAAGUUCUUGUAACCGGCCCAUUUGGAAUUAGAGACCAUCCUGAUCCUCACCAAUCCCCACAGGAGUCUCCACUCCUCUAGUGGGAAUCCAGAGACUGGAGCCCAGCCUAUUCCAAAAUCCCACCACUGCCAGCCUGCAAUUCCAUUUGCCACUCCUCUGAAUGAAAGCACUGUUGUCUCCUGAAGGUCCCAGAGGGACACAAUAAAUGGAGAAGGUA